Molecule: long non-coding RNA, 711 nt
Organism: Salvia miltiorrhiza (redroot sage)
Lineage: Eukaryota; Viridiplantae; Streptophyta; Magnoliopsida; Lamiales; Lamiaceae
Exons: 3
Source: RefSeq, a predicted model, not a curated record
CCAAUAGACCAGACGUCGUCGUCCCAGCUCGAUUCCAGGCAGAAAAUUAGGAAAUGGAGAUACGAACGCAUAUAUACAGAGGAAGGAGCUGAAGAAGAGAAGCUCAAAGGCGAAACUCCGUUGACGAGAUUUUCAAGUUUUUAAAUUCAGGGUUAAUUUGGUUAGGUUUCUGCCCUCUGAUUGAAGCUUUGAAAUGAAGGUGAAGGUCUGUAACUGAUAUGAUGUCGGUGAAACCAACAGUUGCAUUGCGAGCUAUACUUGUAGGAGGAAUAGCAGCGUUUGCUAAAAUUGGAGGAGCGAUGAAAGCUGCUGGUGGAGUGAAGCUAGGCGCCGCGGCUGCUGCCGUGAGUGCCGCAGCGACCGCUGCAGUUUCCGGGUCGAAGCAGGAGGCAAAGGAUGCUCCAGCACAACCUUCAAAAUGACAUCAUUUUAGGUUAGAUUUUGGUUAUGCUGAAACUUAAGCAUUUUUUCCCAAUAAAUGUAGCAUAUAGUUGAAUAACAUUGUAGCAUAAUGGUCCCUGACAGCCAUUAGUGUUAGGUUGUUGUAAUCUGCAGAUGAGGGAUAAACAAACACGUGAAGAAAUUUUGUAUUUUACUAGAAACUUCACUUGUCUCUCUGCCCCAAGACGGCAGUUAGGGAUGUAAAUGAAUCAAGUACACACUCAAAACACAUUUGUUUGUCGGAGUGUGUUGGGGAUUUCUCGUUUUAAA